This 484-nucleotide ribosomal RNA is filed under the name uncultured bacterium. Its description in RNAcentral is "partial 16S ribosomal RNA". It matches the Rfam family "Bacterial small subunit ribosomal RNA", at positions 30 to 507 of the family's 1533-position model. The record is from RNAcentral.
AUUGAACGCUGGCGGCAGGCCUAACACAUGCAAGUCGAGCGGAUGAAGGGAGCUUGCUCCUGGAUUCAGCGGCGGACGGGUGAGUAAUGCCUAGGAAUCUGCCUGGUAGUGGGGGAUAACGUCCGGAAACGGGCGCUAAUACCGCAUACGUCCUGAGGGAGAAAGUGGGGGAUCUUCGGACCUCACGCUAUCAGAUGAGCCUAGGUCGGAUUAGCUAGUUGGUGGGGUAAAGGCCUACCAAGGCGACGAUCCGUAACUGGUCUGAGAGGAUGACCAGUCACACUGGAACUGAGACACGGUCCAGACUCCUACGGGAGGCAGCAGUGGGGAAUAUUGGACAAUGGGCGAAAGCCUGAUCCAGCCAUGCCGCGUGUGUGAAGAAGGUCUUCGGAUUGUAAAGCACUUUAAGUUGGGAGGAAGGGCAGUAAGUUAAUACCUUGCUGUUUUGACGAUACCAACAGAAUAAGCACCGGCUAACUUCGUG